UACGAAGGGUGCAAGCGUUACUCGGAAUUACUGGGCGUAAAGCGUGCGUAGGUGGUUCGUUAAGUCUGAUGUGAAAGCCCUGGGCUCAACCUGGGAAUGGCAUUGGAAACUGGCGACCUAGAGUGCGGUAGAGGGUAGUGGAAUUCCCGGUGUAGCAGUGAAAUGCGUAGAGAUCGGGAGGAACAUCCGUGGCGAAGGCGACUACCUGGACCAGCACUGACACUAAGGCACGAAAGCGUGGGGAGCAAACAGG
This 253-nucleotide ribosomal RNA is filed under the name uncultured bacterium. RNAcentral's name for it is "partial 16S ribosomal RNA". It matches the Rfam family "Bacterial small subunit ribosomal RNA", at positions 524 to 776 of the family's 1533-position model. The record is from RNAcentral.